UACGUAGGGCGCAAGCGUUGUCCGGAAUUACUGGGCGUAAAGAGCUCGUAGGCGGUUUGUCGCGUCUGCCGUGAAAGUCCGGGGCUCAACUCCGGAUCUGCGGUGGGUACGGGCAGACUAGAGUGAUGUAGGGGAGACUGGAAUUCCUGGUGUAGCGGUGAAAUGCGCAGAUAUCAGGAGGAACACCGAUGGCGAAGGCAGGUCUCUGGGCAUUAACUGACGCUGAGGAGCGAAAGCAUGGGGAGCGAACAGG
RNAcentral lists this ribosomal RNA (253 nucleotides) under uncultured bacterium. Its description in RNAcentral is "partial 16S ribosomal RNA". It matches the Rfam family "Bacterial small subunit ribosomal RNA", at positions 524 to 776 of the family's 1533-position model. The record is from RNAcentral.